AUCACGCUUGGGAGGAGGGACUGUUGCUGGCUUGAAGGCCGGCACGGCAGCUAGUCAACAUCUACUGCACUUCCAAUAUGAAAACUGAGAAAUAUUUUCCAAGGAGGCGCAGUGACAGUCAGGACCAGAGAGGGGAAACAGAGAAACUCAAGAAACCACACACAGGACAGCUGCCCAAUGCAAACCAGUGGGAUUAGUUAUCAAAUAAACUUUGUUUUCAAUUUGUCCUAGUAUUCAACCAAGGCUUCUGCGGCGGCUGAAGCAACACGAUGGGGUCUGGGAAGGAGAGCUGCAAGGUAAUGAAGAGAGAAGGCGGACGGCAGCCAACAUGCUGCUGGGGACGUGCCAGCUCGAGGACGCAACAGACCCGCUGGGAAUUCCUCCACCCCGCCAUGUAACACGGAGCCUUCAGAGAAGGAGAGGUGUCGCGCUUGCUUAAGGAGGUGCUAACCUCACCAUCUUGUGCAGCUCUCAGUGACAGAGGGAGAAGGACUCGCCCUGAGUGAAGGAGCCAGUGGCGAGCUCAUCGAUCAAAGAGCGGGAAAUGUCAGACGGCAAGUACAAGGCAGAGUUUUCUUCUUUUUUUUCAGCACAGUCUGCCGAAGCUACACCUCACAGGCUGAUACUGUGAGUACGAAUUUAUUCAAUGUCACAUACACAAUUAAAACACAUGUGUCCAGCCAAACCGUAUUGGGUAAAAAAAAUGAGCCCACGAUUCCGUACACGUUUUUUUUUUAUAUAAUAAUGAUUUUAAAGUCAUUUAGAUAUAAAGCACACUUGAGGUUCAGUCAGGUACAUGACUGGCAGCCUCUUCUGGUGUGAAUGUCACCGGGAAUCUGCAAUUUGGCAUUAUAAUAAUUAACACAGAUUUAAUCGUCGAUGGGUACUGUUUGUUUUACUUUUUACUCAAAAUGAUAUAAUAAUAAAAUAAUCAUUGGUUGCCCCACUGGGGAUAACGAUAUUAACCAAACAGAAGAACAUGUCAAGGCCUAAAAAUUAUAUAUUGUUGUAAAAAGCAAAUGUCCUAAUUUCUGUUAAAAAAAAAAACACCAACCUCUCCAAAUGAGGACCUGAAAAGAAAAAAAAAAGCCUGCGCACCACAAAAAAACUGUGAUAGGUUGGAAGGUUGGACUCGAAAUGACCUUUAUGAGGAGCAUUUCUUUUUCAUCCAAUCAAAUGGCUGAAGAGUGGAUGUAAAAGCAAUAUUAGAAACUUUUAGAGAGAAUAACCCCCUGAUGAUAUGAAUUCAUAUAAACAAAACUUCAAUGCGAGAUACAAUAGUUUCUGUGAAAUAUCUUUACUUUUCUAAGUGGCUGACGCUGUUUACCUCGAGAAUCCAGCAGAUAACUGCGGUGUGAAUCCAAAUGGCAAACUAAUCACUCUCUUCCCCCUGUGAAAAGAAGAUGUACAGCACAGCGUUGUGGAGGGCCACUGCAGGAUACCACUUUACCACACCAGGAGGAAAGAUCCCACCCUUCACAUUCGACAUAAACAAGACGCAAAGAUGUGCUACAAAGGGAGAGGACAAAAGAGAAGUAUUACUAGCAACGGGCAGACAAAGUUAUGGGAGCGGCGGGGAGGUAUCCUUGUGUACAAGUCAUUAGCUCGCUGCUUCAGACACAACAGUGAGGUAUGUGCACAAUAUCCGGUGACCUGAUCCGUUCAGUGCAUUGCACAGAACAAAUGGAGAAAACCGCGCUCUAAUUAUAAACUAUUUUGCUGCAAACAGGGACUUUACAAGUACACAAAUACAAUUACAGAAAGGCAUAUAUGCCUCUGAUAAAUGUGAAUUAUUGUUUCCUGUGCAAGGCUGCGAGCGUCACAUUUUUCACAGCAUCCAGCAGGAACUGUAUAACCGGCAAAGUAUCAAGUGAAAAAGAGUAAAAACGGUUUAAGGUAUUUGGGAGUUUGUCACAUAACAGAGGCACAAUAUUUUCUUAUUGGUUAAUAUAAAAACUCGCCACGAGUCGUUGAGCGCCACUGUUUAAUAAUUUCAUAUCGACCAAAUGUGCAAUCUAACAGCUUGGCAGCUUAUGGUUUCAAAUUUGGAUUCCCAUUCAAAUGCACUGCUGGUAAAAUUGUCAAUUUUCAUUAUGGAUGUGCUGAAAAAUUGUCAAAUCCCAUGGUUGGCAUGAAUCAGUGUGAUUUGACCAACAUUACAGUAUCUUUUAAUAAGGUGUGUGCAUCACUGUUUUCAUAAUAAUAAUUUAUAAUAAGGUGAAACAGGUGAAUGUAAAAUCCUGAAAUCAAAAUAAACUAAUUAUUAUAUAACUUGACAAUUGCAAGGAGGGACGAAGGCAAAAUAAUAGUAAUGUAAUUUGAUAAUGUCACUGUAAAAUUAGAUUGUAAGACCUGAAUUUUGUUUUAUUGCUUGUAAAUGUGUCACGUCAAAUAAAUCAACGUGUCACUAUGUCAUCACACAAUCUGCAGCUGAAUUAAAGACCAUUUCAGUUGUA
Molecule: long non-coding RNA, 2456 nt
Organism: Scophthalmus maximus (turbot)
Lineage: Eukaryota; Metazoa; Chordata; Actinopteri; Pleuronectiformes; Scophthalmidae
Exons: 3
Source: RefSeq, a predicted model, not a curated record